CGGACGGGUGAGUAAUGCUUGGGAAUCUGUCUUAUGGAGGGGGAUAACGACGGGAAACUGUCGCUAAUACCGCGUAGAAUCGGGAGAUGAAAGUGUGGGACCUUCGGGCCACAUGCCAUAGGAUGAGCCCAAGUGUGAUUAGGUAGUUGGUGGGGUAAAGGCCUACCAAGCCGACGAUCGCUAGCUGGUCUGAGAGGAUGGCCAGCCACACCGGGACUGAGACACGGCCCGGACUCCUACGGGAGGCAGCAGUGGGGAAUAUUGCGCAAUGGGGGCAACCCUGACGCAGCCAUGCCGCGUGAAUGAAGAAGGCCUUCGGGUUGUAAAGUUCUUUCGGUGAUGAGGAAGGUUGGUGUGUUAAUAGCAUGCCAAAUUGACGUUAAAUACAGAAGAAGCACCGGCUAACUCCGUGCCAGCAGCCGCGGUAAUACGGGGGGUGCGAGCGUUAAUCGGAAUAACUGGGCGUAAAGGGCACGUAGGCGGACCUUUAAGUGAGGUGUGAAAUCCCCGGGCUUAACCUGGGAAUUGCAUUUCAUACUGGGGGUCUGGAGUACUUUAGGGAGGGGUAGAAUUCCACGUGUAGCGGUGAAAUGCGUAGAGAUGUGGAGGAAUACCGAAGGCGAAGGCAGCCCCUUGGGGAUGUACUGACGCUGAUGUGCGAAAGCGUGGGGAGCAAACAGGAUUAGAUACCCUGGUAGUCCACGCUGUAAACGGUGUCGAUUUGGGGAUUGGGGUUUAGCCCUGGUGCCCGAAGCUAACGUGAUAAAUCGACCGCCUGGGGAGUACGGCCGCAAGGUUAAAACUCAAAUGAAUUGACGGGGGCCCGCACAAGCGGUGGAGCAUGUGGUUUAAUUCGAUGCAACGCGAAGAACCUUACCUACUCUUGACAUCCGAAGAAGAACUCAGAGAUGGGUUUGUGCCUUAGGGAGCUUUGAGACAGGUGCUGCAUGGCUGUCGUCAGCUCGUGUUGUGAAAUGUUGGGUUAAGUCCCGCAACGAGCGCAACCCUUAUCCUUUGUUGCCAGCGACUUGGUCGGGAACUCAAAGGAGACUGCCGGUGAUAAACCGGAGGAAGGUGGGGAUGACGUCAAGUCAUCAUGGCCCUUACGAGUAGGGCUACACACGUGCUACAAUGGCGUAUACAGAGGGUAACCAACCAGCGAUGGGGAGUGAAUCUCAGAAAGUACGUCUAAGUCCGGAUG
RNAcentral lists this ribosomal RNA (1201 nucleotides) under Aggregatibacter actinomycetemcomitans. RNAcentral's name for it is "bacterial SSU rRNA". It matches the Rfam family "Bacterial small subunit ribosomal RNA", at positions 99 to 1299 of the family's 1533-position model. The record is from RNAcentral. Lineage: Bacteria; Pseudomonadati; Pseudomonadota; Gammaproteobacteria; Pasteurellales; Pasteurellaceae.